CUCGAGGUACGGGAGGCAACAACAGAAGUGAUGGAAGUUUGAUCCUGUAACCAGUGAACUUGAUCAUUUUAAACGUGGCAUGAAUAACACAACGGAGAGAGUGCAAUUCAAAGGGAAAUACACAAGAGAUAUGGUGGAUAAAAUACACGAGAUUGUCUUUUUAAAGAAACGUUUUGGGAUGACAUCCAAUGGUUUCUGUGGUGAUCUAAUGGAUACAGAGAGGCAAGGUGGUGGCUGUAAGAGGAAAGGUCACUUUCAGUUCAGCCAUCGCUGACCUCACUGUGACUGCUGCACGUAAACCUCUGGGAAGCUGUGAUGAGGGAAAAGAGGCAUGAGGGACCUGUUGAAGCAGCACACCAGAGAAAGACCUCUGUUGUUACUGAGGGUUUUGAUUGAAUUAUGAGGUAAAGCAUGAUGGGCUGUAAACGUGAAGGUGAAAUCUGUUAGCACUGCACUCUGAUAGGUUUCUGGGUGAAAAUGGAUAUUUGACAAGAAAGCUUUAUAUUUUCACUAUAUUCUUUGGAAUCAUAUCCAUUAAUAAAUCAUGGACAAUGUGAUCAGGAAAGUGCAUUUAAUCCAGUUUGGAUUGACUGAUUGAACCAUUUAACUUCAAACUUGGUUUAAUCUUUUUUUUUUUUUUUUAUGUUUUUCACAUUAUUUUCUCUGUAGCAAAUUAAUAUUAUGUCAUUAAUCCGUUUGAUCGCUACUAAUACUGCUUACUCAAAGCAACAAACUUCAAACUUUAUCCACAACAUUGACUAUUUUUCCUUUUGGUUGGUCUUUAUUCUAUUGUAUUAGUGCAGCACUUGUUUAUUUUAUUACUCAUUUCUUGCCAUGAAAAUAGCCCAAGUUGCUGACAUG
This is a long non-coding RNA of Carassius gibelio (silver crucian carp), 861 nucleotides long. RefSeq lists it as uncharacterized. The record is from RefSeq and is a predicted model, not a curated record. Lineage: Eukaryota; Metazoa; Chordata; Actinopteri; Cypriniformes; Cyprinidae. The transcript has 3 exons.